Molecule: ribosomal RNA, 1460 nt
Filed under: uncultured organism
Description: SSU rRNA
Rfam family: Bacterial small subunit ribosomal RNA
Source: RNAcentral
ACGCUGGCGGCAGGCCUAACACAUGCAAGUCGAGCGGUAGCACAGAGAGCUUGCUCUCGGGUGACGAGCGGCGGACGGGUGAGUAAUGUCUGGGAAACUGCCUGAUGGAGGGGGAUAACUACUGGAAACGGUAGCUAAUACCGCAUAAUGUCGCAAGACCAAAGUGGGGGACCUUCGGGCCUCAUGCCAUCAGAUGUGCCCAGAUGGGAUUAGCUAGUAGGUGGGGUAACGGCUCACCUAGGCGACGAUCCCUAGCUGGUCUGAGAGGAUGACCAGCCACACUGGAACUGAGACACGGUCCAGACUCCUACGGGAGGCAGCAGUGGGGAAUAUUGCACAAUGGGCGCAAGCCUGAUGCAGCCAUGCCGCGUGUGUGAAGAAGGCCUUCGGGUUGUAAAGCACUUUCAGCGGGGAGGAAGGCGGUGAGGUUAAUAACCUCAUCGAUUGACGUUACCCGCAGAAGAAGCACCGGCUAACUCCGUGCCAGCAGCCGCGGUAAUACGGAGGGUGCAAGCGUUAAUCGGAAUUACUGGGCGUAAAGCGCACGCAGGCGGUCUGUCAAGUCGGAUGUGAAAUCCCCGGGCUUAACCUGGGAACUGCAUUCGAAACUGGCAGGCUAGAGUCUUGUAGAGGGGGGUAGAAUUCCAGGUGUAGCGGUGAAAUGCGUAGAGAUCUGGAGGAAUACCGGUGGCGAAGGCGGCCCCCUGGACAAAGACUGACGCUCAGGUGCGAAAGCGUGGGGAGCAAACAGGAUUAGAUACCCUGGUAGUCCACGCCGUAAACGAUGUCGAUUUGGAGGUUGUGCCCUUGAGGCGUGGCUUCCGGAGCUAACGCGUUAAAUCGACCGCCUGGGGAGUACGGCCGCAAGGUUAAAACUCAAAUGAAUUGACGGGGGCCCGCACAAGCGGUGGAGCAUGUGGUUUAAUUCGAUGCGACGCGAAGAACCUUACCUGGUCUUGACAUCCACAGAACUUUCCAGAGAUGGAUUGGUGCCUUCGGGAACUGUGAGACAGGUGCUGCAUGGCUGUCGUCAGCUCGUGUUGUGAAAUGUUGGGUUAAGUCCCGCAACGAGCGCAACCCUUAUCCUUUGUUGCCAGCGGUUAGGCCGGGAACUCAAAGGAGACUGCCAGUGAUAAGCUGGAGGAAGGUGGGGAUGACGUCAAGUCACCAUGGCCCUUACGACCAGGGCUACACACGUGCUACAAUGGCAUAUACAAAGAGAAGCGACCUCGCGAGAGCAAGCGGACCUCAUAAAGUAUGUCGUAGUCCGGAUUGGAGUCUGCAACUCGACUCCAUGAAGUCGGAAUCGUUAGUAAUCGUAGAUCAGAAUGCUACGGUGAAUACGUUCCCGGGCCUUGUACACACCGCCCGUCACACCAUGGGAGUGGGUUGCAAAAGAAGUAGGUAGCUUAACCUUCGGGAGGGCGCUUACCACUUUGUGAUUCAUGACUGGGGUGAAG